UGAAGCCGAGGUGUGUGGAAGUUGUGCCGUUGCUGCCGGGUGGCCGGGUGGCCAAGGAGGAUUCUGCAAGCUGUAUAGGUCGUUUGAGAACACAUGAGGAACUCCUGCUACAUUGUUCUGCUGACUAUAUUCCAGCUUUAAGAAAGCCUGGGAAGAGAUUAGGACACUGUUGCACACAGUGGGAAGACCACGUGAGGACACAGUGAAAAGAUGGACAUCUAUCUACAAGCCAAGGAGAGAGGCCUCAGAAGAAACCAACUCUACCAACUUCUAGCCGUCAGAAUGAGUAAAGGGAAAGAACCACGUUACCUGUCAACGCUGAGAGCGCAGAGAUUGAGGACGGUGAUCCCCACUGAGGACUUCUGCAAAAAGGGGAACAACUUGCAGAGAAAUACGCCAAAGUCAUUGUGAUCAAAAGGCCAGCG
Molecule: long non-coding RNA, 425 nt
Organism: Globicephala melas (long-finned pilot whale)
Lineage: Eukaryota; Metazoa; Chordata; Mammalia; Artiodactyla; Delphinidae
Source: RefSeq, a predicted model, not a curated record